Molecule: long non-coding RNA, 399 nt
Filed under: Callithrix jacchus (white-tufted-ear marmoset)
Lineage: Eukaryota; Metazoa; Chordata; Mammalia; Primates; Cebidae
Description: lncRNA (ENSCJAG00000078763.1)
Source: RNAcentral
GUGCUACCUGAGGCAGGCCGUAGGUAGGGUGCAAAGGACCGGAAGAGGGAAAGAAACCUCUUUUUUUCUUUUUUUCAGGCUUACCCUCAGCCCAGGAUAGCCCUGACUGCAAUUUUCCGACAUCUAGGGCAGCUCCAGGCUCUGAUUCUCCACAGCAAACACAGUGAGCGAGCUCGCCAGUCGCCCAGUCUGCGGAGGCUCCCAGGCCAGCCCCGGCACCCGACUGCCGAGAAGCCCAGAGCUUCCCCAUUAGCCAGCAGAGGCUGGUGGAGAGCCUGGAUGGAGAGAUGGGGUUUCACUGUGUUACCCAGGCUGGUCUCAAAUUCCUGGACUCAAGCAAUCCUCCUGUCUUGUACUCCCGCCAUGCUAGGAUUACAGGUGAGAGCCACUGCACCCAAC